Molecule: long non-coding RNA, 297 nt
Organism: Cyprinus carpio (common carp)
Lineage: Eukaryota; Metazoa; Chordata; Actinopteri; Cypriniformes; Cyprinidae
Source: Ensembl
GUGCGCAUGGCAUAUUGAUACGGAAGUGUUACGAUACUUCCUGUUGUGUGAAAAAGUAUUAUUUCACCUCCAUAUCAGACAUAUUUAUAUGUUAUAUAUUUGAAUGUAUUAUAUAUGAAUAAUAUUUGGGCAUCAUGAUCUUCAGUUGCUGCUUCAUCUGUGUGUUUGCAGUGCUGGUAAAUAAAGUGUGUCUGCAGGUCACAGUAGAGGCUGUCGUUGGUGGUUCUGUCGUUCUGCCGUGUUCUUCUGCUAAACAUGAUCUUAAACUUCAAGAUAUUGAAGUGUUUUGGAGACACA